GAGUUUGAUCAUGGCUCAGAUUGAACGCUGGCGGUAGGCUUAACACAUGCAAGUCGAGCGCGAAAGUUCCUUCGGGGACGAGUAGAGCGGCGGACGGGUGAGUAACGCGUAGGAAUCUGCCUGGUAGUGGGGGAUAACUCGGGGAAACUCGAGCUAAUACCGCAUACGCCCCAUGGGGGAAAGCGGGGGACCUUCGGGCCUCGUGCUAUCAGAUGAGCCUGCGUCGGAUUAGCUUGUUGGUGAGGUAAUGGCUCACCAAGGCAACGAUCCGUAGCUGGUCUGAGAGGAUGAUCAGCCACACUGGGACUGAGACACGGCCCAGACUCCUACGGGAGGCAGCAGUGGGGAAUAUUGGACAAUGGGGGCAACCCUGAUCCAGCCAUACCGCGUGUGUGAAGAAGGCCUUCGGGUUGUAAAGCACUUUCAGUAGGGAGGAAAAGGUUUCGGCUAAUAACCGAGAUCCCUGACGUUACCUACAGAAGAAGCACCGGCAAACUCCGUGCCAGCAGCUGCGGUAAUACGGAGGGUGCAAGCGUUAAUCGGAAUUACUGGGCGUAAAGCGCGCGUAGGCGGCUUGGUAAGCUGGAUGUGAAAGCCCUGGGCUCAACCUGGGAACUGCAUUCAGAACUGUCAGGCUAGAGUAUGGUAGAGGGUAGUGGAAUUUCCGGUGUAGCGGUGAAAUGCGUAGAGAUCGGAAGGAACACCAGUGGCGAAGGCGGCUACCUGGACCAAUACUGACGCUGAGGUGCGAAAGCGUGGGGAG
Molecule: ribosomal RNA, 763 nt
Filed under: uncultured Gammaproteobacteria bacterium
Lineage: Bacteria; Pseudomonadati; Pseudomonadota; Gammaproteobacteria
Description: bacterial SSU rRNA
Rfam family: Bacterial small subunit ribosomal RNA
Source: RNAcentral